UACGUAGGUGGCAAGCGUUGUCCGGAUUUACUGGGCGUAAAGAGCGCGCAGGCGGUCGUUCAAGUCGCGUGUGGAAGCCCCCGGCUCAACUGGGGAGGGUCACGCGAUACUGAUCGACUCGAAGGCAGGAGAGGGUAGUGGAAUUCCCGGUGUAGUGGUGAAAUGCGUAGAUAUCGGGAGGAACACCAGUGGCGAAGGCGACUACCUGGCCUGUUUCUUGACGCUGAGGCGCGAAAGCUAGGGGAGCAAACGGGG
RNAcentral lists this ribosomal RNA (255 nucleotides) under uncultured bacterium. Its description in RNAcentral is "partial 16S ribosomal RNA". It matches the Rfam family "Bacterial small subunit ribosomal RNA", at positions 524 to 777 of the family's 1533-position model. The record is from RNAcentral.